CUUUAAUAGGAUGUUACGAUUGUGUGAAUACAUAGCACAUUCGAGGUAGACGCAGAGAACUGAAACAUCUAAGUACCUGCAGGAAGAGAAAGAAAAUUCGAUUCCCUGAGUAGCGGCGAGCGAAACGGGAAAAGCCCAAACCAGCAAGCUUGCUUGUUGGGGUUGUAGGACUCCAAUAUGGUAGUUCUUUCAGAUAGUCGAAUGACUUGGAAAAGUCAGUCAAAGAGGGUAAAAACCCCGUAGACGAAAUGUGGAAGACACCUAGGAGGAUCCUGAGUACGGCGGAACACGAGAAAUUCCGUCGGAAUCCGGGAGGACCAUCUCCCAAGGCUAAAUACUCCCUAGUGACCGAUAGUGAACCAGUACCGUGAGGGAAAGGUGAAAAGCACCCCGGAAGGGGAGUGAAAUAGAACCUGAAACCGUGUGCCUACAACAAGUCAAAGCCCGUUAAUGGGUGAUGGCGUGCCUUUUGUAGAAUGAACCGGCGAGUUACGAUUGCAUGCGAGGUUAAGUUGAAGAGACGGAGCCGCAGCGAAAGCGAGUCUGAAUAGGGCGUUUGAGUAUGUAGUCGUAGACCCGAAACCAUGUGAUCUACCCAUGUCCAGGUUGAAGGUGCGGUAAAACGCACUGGAGGACCGAACCCACGUACGUUGAAAAGUGCGGGGAUGAGGUGUGGGUAGCGGAGAAAUUCCAAACGAACUUGGAGAUAGCUGGUUCUCUCCGAAAUAGCUUUAGGGCUAGCCUCGGAAUU
Molecule: ribosomal RNA, 751 nt
Filed under: Enterococcus faecium
Lineage: Bacteria; Bacillati; Bacillota; Bacilli; Lactobacillales; Enterococcaceae
Description: partial 23S ribosomal RNA
Rfam family: Bacterial large subunit ribosomal RNA
Source: RNAcentral